Molecule: ribosomal RNA, 2899 nt
Filed under: Klebsiella pneumoniae
Lineage: Bacteria; Pseudomonadati; Pseudomonadota; Gammaproteobacteria; Enterobacterales; Enterobacteriaceae
Description: 23S ribosomal RNA
Rfam family: Bacterial large subunit ribosomal RNA
Source: RNAcentral
UUAAGCGACUAAGCGUACACGGUGGAUGCCCUGGCAGUCAGAGGCGAUGAAGGACGUGCUAAUCUGCGAAAAGCGUCGGUAAGGUGAUAUGAACCGUUAUAACCGGCGAUGUCCGAAUGGGGAAACCCAGUGCAAUUCGUUGCACUAUCGUUAACUGAAUACAUAGGUUAACGAGGCGAACCGGGGGAACUGAAACAUCUAAGUACCCCGAGGAAAAGAAAUCAACCGAGAUUCCCCCAGUAGCGGCGAGCGAACGGGGAGCAGCCCAGAGUCUGAAUCAGCUUGUGUGUUAGUGGAACGGUCUGGAAAGUCCGACGGUACAGGGUGAUAGUCCCGUACACCAAAAUGCACAGGCUGUGAACUCGAAGAGUAGGGCGGGACACGUGGUAUCCUGUCUGAAUAUGGGGGACCAUCCUCCAAGGCUAAAUACUCCUGACUGACCGAUAGUGAACCAGUACCGUGAGGGAAAGGCGAAAAGAACCCCGGCGAGGGGAGUGAAAAAGAACCUGAAACCGUGUACGUACAAGCAGUGGGAGCACCUUCGGGUGUGACUGCGUACCUUUUGUAUAAUGGGUCAGCGACUUAUAUUCUGUAGCAAGGUUAACCGUAUAGGGGAGCCGCAGGGAAACCGAGUCUUAACUGGGCGUUAAGUUGCAGGGUAUAGACCCGAAACCCGGUGAUCUAGCCAUGGGCAGGUUGAAGGUUGGGUAACACUAACUGGAGGACCGAACCGACUAAUGUUGAAAAAUUAGCGGAUGACUUGUGGCUGGGGGUGAAAGGCCAAUCAAACCGGGAGAUAGCUGGUUCUCCCCGAAAGCUAUUUAGGUAGCGCCUCGUGAACUCAUCUUCGGGGGUAGAGCACUGUUUCGGCUAGGGGGUCAUCCCGACUUACCAACCCGAUGCAAACUACGAAUACCGAAGAAUGUUAUCACGGGAGACACACGGCGGGUGCUAACGUCCGUCGUGAAGAGGGAAACAACCCAGACCGCCAGCUAAGGUCCCAAAGUCAUGGUUAAGUGGGAAACGAUGUGGGAAGGCACAGACAGCCAGGAUGUUGGCUUAGAAGCAGCCAUCAUUUAAAGAAAGCGUAAUAGCUCACUGGUCGAGUCGGCCUGCGCGGAAGAUGUAACGGGGCUAAACCAUGCACCGAAGCUGCGGCAGCGACACUAUGUGUUGUUGGGUAGGGGAGCGUUCUGUAAGCCUGCGAAGGUGUGCUGUGAGGCAUGCUGGAGGUAUCAGAAGUGCGAAUGCUGACAUAAGUAACGAUAAAGCGGGUGAAAAGCCCGCUCGCCGGAAGACCAAGGGUUCCUGUCCAACGUUAAUCGGGGCAGGGUGAGUCGACCCCUAAGGCGAGGCCGAAAGGCGUAGUCGAUGGGAAACAGGUUAAUAUUCCUGUACUUGGUGUUACUGCGAAGGGGGGACGGAGAAGGCUAUGUUAGCCGGGCGACGGUUGUCCCGGUUUAAGCAUGUAGGCUGAUUGUCCAGGCAAAUCCGGAUAAUCAAGGCUGAGGUGUGAUGACGAGGCACUACGGUGCUGAAGUAACAAAUGCCCUGCUUCCAGGAAAAGCCUCUAAGCAUCAGGUAACAUUAAAUCGUACCCCAAACCGACACAGGUGGUCAGGUAGAGAAUACCAAGGCGCUUGAGAGAACUCGGGUGAAGGAACUAGGCAAAAUGGUGCCGUAACUUCGGGAGAAGGCACGCUGGUGUGUAGGUGAAGUCCCUGCGGAUGGAGCUGAGACCAGUCGAAGAUACCAGCUGGCUGCAACUGUUUAUUAAAAACACAGCACUGUGCAAACACGAAAGUGGACGUAUACGGUGUGACGCCUGCCCGGUGCCGGAAGGUUAAUUGAUGGGGUUAUCCGUAAGGAGAAGCUCUUGAUCGAAGCCCCGGUAAACGGCGGCCGUAACUAUAACGGUCCUAAGGUAGCGAAAUUCCUUGUCGGGUAAGUUCCGACCUGCACGAAUGGCGUAAUGAUGGCCAGGCUGUCUCCACCCGAGACUCAGUGAAAUUGAACUCGCUGUGAAGAUGCAGUGUACCCGCGGCAAGACGGAAAGACCCCGUGAACCUUUACUAUAGCUUGACACUGAACAUUGAGCCUUGAUGUGUAGGAUAGGUGGGAGGCUUUGAAGCGUGGACGCCAGUCUGCGUGGAGCCAACCUUGAAAUACCACCCUUUAAUGUUUGAUGUUCUAACGUUGGCCCCUUACCGGGGUUGCGGACAGUGUCUGGUGGGUAGUUUGACUGGGGCGGUCUCCUCCCAAAGCGUAACGGAGGAGCACGAAGGUUAGCUAAUCCUGGUCGGACAUCAGGAGGUUAGUGCAAUGGCAUAAGCUAGCUUGACUGCGAGCGUGACGGCGCGAGCAGGUGCGAAAGCAGGUCAUAGUGAUCCGGUGGUUCUGAAUGGAAGGGCCAUCGCUCAACGGAUAAAAGGUACUCCGGGGAUAACAGGCUGAUACCGCCCAAGAGUUCAUAUCGACGGCGGUGUUUGGCACCUCGAUGUCGGCUCAUCACAUCCUGGGGCUGAAGUAGGUCCCAAGGGUAUGGCUGUUCGCCAUUUAAAGUGGUACGCGAGCUGGGUUUAGAACGUCGUGAGACAGUUCGGUCCCUAUCUGCCGUGGGCGCUGGAGAAUUGAGGGGGGCUGCUCCUAGUACGAGAGGACCGGAGUGGACGCAUCACUGGUGUUCGGGUUGUCAUGCCAAUGGCACUGCCCGGUAGCUAAAUGCGGAAGAGAUAAGUGCUGAAAGCAUCUAAGCACGAAACUUGCCCCGAGAUGAGUUCUCCCUGAGACUUUAAGUCUCCUGAAGGAACGUUGAAGACGACGACGUUGAUAGGCCGGGUGUGUAAGCGCAGCGAUGCGUUGAGCUAACCGGUACUAAUGAACCGUGAGGCUUAACCUU